CCGUAGGUGAACCUGCGGAGGGAUCAUUACCGAGUUUACAACUCCCAAACCCAAUGUGAACGUUACCAAACUGUUGCCUCGGCGGGGUCACGCCCCGGGUGCGUCGCAGCCCCGGAACCAGGCGCCCGCCGGAGGAACCAACCAAACUCUUUCUGUAGUCCCCUCGCGGACGUAUUUCUUACAGCUCUGAGCAAAAAUUCAAAAUGAAUCAAAACUUUCAACAACGGAUCUCUUGGUUCUGGCAUCGAUGAAGAACGCAGCGAAAUGCGAUAAGUAAUGUGAAUUGCAGAAUUCAGUGAAUCAUCGAAUCUUUGAACGCACAUUGCGCCCGCCAGUAUUCUGGCGGGCAUGCCUGUCCGAGCGUCAUUUCAACCCUCGAACCCCUCCGGGGGAUCGGCGUUGGGGAUCGGGACCCCUCACACGGGUGCCGGCCCCGAAAUACAGUGGCGGUCUCGCCGCAGCCUCUCCUGCGCAGUAGUUUGCACAACUCGCACCGGGAGCGCGGCGCGUCCACGUCCGUAAAACACCCAACUUUCUGAAAUGUUGACCUCGGAUCAGGUAGGAAUACCCGCUGAACUUAAGCAUAUCAAUAAAGCGGAGG
Molecule: ribosomal RNA, 601 nt
Filed under: Trichoderma asperellum
Lineage: Eukaryota; Fungi; Ascomycota; Sordariomycetes; Hypocreales; Hypocreaceae
Description: eukaryotic LSU rRNA
Rfam family: 5.8S ribosomal RNA (bases 213-366)
Source: RNAcentral